This 366-nucleotide ribosomal RNA is filed under the name uncultured bacterium. RNAcentral's name for it is "partial 16S ribosomal RNA". It matches the Rfam family "Bacterial small subunit ribosomal RNA", at positions 338 to 701 of the family's 1533-position model. The record is from RNAcentral.
CCUACGGGUGGCAGCAGUGAGGAAUAUUGGUCAAUGGGCGCUAGCCUGAACCAGCCAAGUAGCGUGAAGGAUGACUGCCCUAUGGGUUGUAAACUUCUUUUAUAGGGGAAUAAAGUGCAGUAUGUAUACUGCUUUGCAUGUACCUUAUGAAUAAGGAUCGGCUAACUCCGUGCCAGCAGCCGCGGUAAUACGGAGGAUCCGAGCGUUAUCCGGAUUGAUUGGGUUUCAAGGGAGCGUAGGCGGGUUGUUAAGUCAGUUGUGAAAGUUUGCGGCUCACCCGUAAAAUUGCAGUUGAUACUUGCAUCCUUGCGUACAGUAGCGGUCGGCGCAAUUCGUUGUGUAGCGGUGACAUGCUUCGAUAUCACG